Molecule: transfer RNA, 72 nt
Filed under: Candidatus Poribacteria bacterium
Lineage: Bacteria; Candidatus Poribacteria
Description: tRNA-His
Rfam family: tRNA
About the family: Transfer RNA (tRNA) molecules are approximately 80 nucleotides in length. Their secondary structure includes four short double-helical elements and three loops (D, anti-codon, and T loops).
Source: RNAcentral
GUGGAUGUAGCUCAGGGGUAGAGCACUUGACUGUGGAUCAAGUGGUCGUGGGUUCAAAUCCCAUCAUCCACC